AGCAGCCGCGGUAAUUCCAGCUCCAAUAGCGUAUAUUAAAGUUGUUGCAGUUAAAAAGCUCGUAGUUGAAUUUCGGGGUCAGUAGUUUGGUCAUGCCACAGGUAUGUACUGAUCUUACUGAUUCCUCCUUCCUGAUGAACCGUAAUGCCAUUAAUUUGGUGUUGCGGGGAGACUGGACUGUUACUUUGAAAAAUUAGAGUGUUUAAAGCAGGCUAACGCUUGAAUACAUUAGCAUGGAAUAAUGAAAUAGGACGUUCGAUCCUAUUUUGUUGGUUUCUAGGAUUGACGUAAUGAUUAAUAGGGAUAGUUGGGGCAUUAGUAUUCAAUUGUCAGAGGUGAAAUUCUUGGA
RNAcentral lists this ribosomal RNA (349 nucleotides) under uncultured Glomeromycotina. Its description in RNAcentral is "SSU rRNA". It matches the Rfam family "Eukaryotic small subunit ribosomal RNA", at positions 569 to 924 of the family's 1831-position model. Lineage: Eukaryota; Fungi; Glomeromycota. The record is from RNAcentral.